RNAcentral lists this non-coding RNA (786 nucleotides) under Panesthia tryoni tegminifera. RNAcentral's name for it is "12S ribosomal RNA". The stretch from base 374 to 779 matches the Rfam family "Microsporidia small subunit ribosomal RNA", at positions 752 to 1303 of the family's 1311-position model. The record is from RNAcentral. Lineage: Eukaryota; Metazoa; Arthropoda; Insecta; Blattodea; Blaberidae.
UAAAAGUUUUAUUCUUGCUUAAUUACUUAUUUUAAUUUAAUGUUAUAUGCAAAAUUUUAUAUUUAAUAAUUUCUUAAUGAAUUAAUUAAAUUAUUUAGUGCAGUAAUGAAUAUUAAAUAAUAAAGGGAAUUUUGAUUUAGUUAUUUUUGAUAGUGUUGAUUAAAUAUGUGCCAGCAGUCGCGGUUAUACAUAGGACAUAAAUAAGUAUUUUUAGUUAUAUAGUUAAUUUAUUUAUUUAAUUUAAUUUGAUAAUUUUUGGGUAAAAUUUAAAUUUUUGUUUUUAAUUUAUUUUAUAUUAAAUGAGGCUGUGAAAUCUAAAUUAUUUAAACUAGGAUUAGAUACCCUAUUAUUUUGGAUAUAAAAUUUUAAUCUUGAGUAGUAUUAGAUAUGUACUUGAAACUUAAAGAAUUUGGCGGUAUUUUAGUCUAGUUAGAGGAAUCUGUCCCAUUAUCGAUAAUCCACGUUGAACCUUACUUAAUAUGAUUUAAUAUGUAUACCGCCGUUUAUUUGAAGAUCUUUUUAGGGUUAAAUUUCUUUAAAUUUNAAUUAAUUUUAAUUCAGGUCAAGGUGCAGUUGAUAAUUAAGUGGAGAUGGAUUACAAUAUUUAAAAAGUAAAUGAAUUAAGGCUUGAAAAAUUUUAUGAAGGUGGAUUUAAUAGUAAUUAUUAAUAAGAAUUAUUUUUGUGAUUUUGGCUCUAAAAUGUGCACACAUCGCCCGUCACUCUCGUUAUUAAGAUGAGAUAAGUCGUAACAAAGUAGGUGUACCGGAAGGUGUAGCUAGAUUGAC